Molecule: long non-coding RNA, 1817 nt
Organism: Monodelphis domestica (gray short-tailed opossum)
Lineage: Eukaryota; Metazoa; Chordata; Mammalia; Didelphimorphia; Didelphidae
Source: Ensembl
UUUUGCUUGCCUUCUCAGUGGGUAAGUGGAAGAGGAAUUUGGAACUCAUUUUUUGAAAUGAAUGUUAAAUAAAUUACAUUUUAAAAUGGAAUCAUCAUUUUAAAAGUUCUAGUCUUUUCUCUAAAUCUCUAUCUGCCAUAGUACAUUAAUCAUGAAAAGAAAAUACAGACUAUGGGAUCUGUUCAGCUUAUCAAAGUACAUGAUGAUUGAGAGAUUAGAAAUAUUUCCCACAGUAUUUGGGGACUUCAGAAAUGGAAGAAAAGAUAUCCAAAAAAUCUUCCAUUUUUCCAUAUGGCCAUUUUGGUCAUAAUCAUCAUCACUGACUUAUUCCAAAGCUGCCUGCCUGAAUGUCAUAGUCAUGUCAUUUAAAGAUCACUUGAAGAAAAUGGAUUCUGUUAGCAGGAGAAGAGAAGUCUCAGUGCAGCUAUGAAUUGUCAAUAAACAUUUAUCAAAGAUCCAGAGCAACUGUGCAUGUAAAAAAGGCAAAAAAAAAAAAAGCCCCUGCUCUCAAGAAGCUCCCAAUCUAAUGGAGGAGAAAAUAUGCAACUAUGUACAAAAGAGAAAUGCAUAUAUAUACACAUAUUCAUAUAUAUAUAUACACAGGCAUAUAUACACAUAAACACAUAUCUAUAUACAUAUUUAUAUGUAGAAACUCACUUUUUUAAAAACGUUUACCUUCUGUCUGUGGAAGAGUAGAAAGGACUAAGCAUGGGGGGUGGGGGGGGGUUUGCCCAAUGUCACUUAGCUAGAAAGUAUCUGAGGUCAAAUUUGAAUGCAGGACCUCCCAUCUCUAGAUUUGGCUCUCAGUCUGAUGAGCCACCCAGCUGCCUCCUAGAAACUCAUUUUCUAAAAGAAGGCUUUGCCAACCUUAAUGUGUUGGCAAACGUUUUAUUUAGAAAAUGAGUUUCUAGCUAGAAUGUCAAGGAAGCCGAGAAGUGGAGAUGAGGGGGAAGAAUAUCUCUAGCAUGAAAGACAGCCAGUGAAAUUGCCUGUAUUUUGGAGACAGUGUUAAGUAUGGGGAGCAGCAAGGAAGUCAAUAGUCAUCUUCUACUUUUUAAAGAGUUGUCCUCUGCUAGAAAGUUUACCCUCAUUUUCAUUGAGCCCAGAGGGCAAUUUAAUGGUGGCUCUGUGGAUUGAGAACCAGACCUAGAGACUGAGGGUCUUGGAUUCAAAUUUGACCUCAAACACUUCCUAACUGUGACCCUGGGCAAGUCACUUAAUUCCCAUUACCUAACCCUUACUAUUCUUCUGCCUUAGAACCAAUGCAUAGUAUUGAGAUAAGACAGAAGGUUAAAGGUUUAACAAAAUGCUUUAUUUCAAGGAAAAACCUUUCAACAAUUAAAGAUGUCCAAAAUGGAAUGGAUUAUCUCAGAAGUGAGUUAGUUUCUCCUCAUUGAAAGAAAAUGCUAAGUGAUCACUUUCAGGUACAUUUUAGAGAAGAUGAUAGCAUAAGACCCUUGAGAUCAAUCACUAUUCUUUUCAUUUAUCCUUUUGUAUUCAACCUAUACAGUACCUUGCAUAGAGUAGCUGCUUAACAAAUGCCUGUUAGUCUAGACUUUGAUUUGGGAACUUUUCUUUAGGUAUGAGUUAACUGAGAUGACCACUGAAGUCCCUUCAGGUCUUGAGAUUCUGUGAUUCUGUCUGUGGCAUAUUGAGAUUAUCUGCAUUCUUGCUACAAAUGAUACUUGUUUAUUUGUUUCCACAUGUGGAGGCUGCAAUCCAAUUCUCUGCCUGCAAUAAGUAGCAAAGCUAUAGAUUCAUUUGCCACCUACUGGGAACCGGAGCUGGCUGGCUUUGUAACCGAGCACAAGGGGAAC